Molecule: long non-coding RNA, 285 nt
Organism: Hydra vulgaris (swiftwater hydra)
Lineage: Eukaryota; Metazoa; Cnidaria; Hydrozoa; Anthoathecata; Hydridae
Source: RefSeq, a predicted model, not a curated record
CUUAACCUGUCAAAUGAACAUAAAUGAGCUAAAAAAAAUCCUGGAUUGUCCUAUGGUAGUUCCAUAUUUCCCUGUUCACACACAAGGAGUUGAGAAGGCAGUUAAGGAGGUAACUGCAGCUUCUGAAACAGUGUUUGGUUUUGAGAGACGAAAUGGAUUUAUUCGUGCAAGAGCAGAAAAUAGAUCGAUAAUACCUCGUUUUAACAGCAAGAAGGACCUCAUUAAAUUUUAGCAUUCUUUUUCAGUACCUCUAGUAGAGUUAUAAAGAUUGAAAAAUGAGUUUAA